CCUACAAUAAUAGUUGGAAUUCAAAUUAUAACUAAACUGUAAAUUUAAAUGCAAAGCAACAUAAAAAACUUCAUUAUAAAACAAAUUCAACUUUUAAAUAUAAAACACAAAUUAAAAUAAAACUUUCAAUUCAAAUUCAAAUUUCUUAUUUAAAUCAAAAAUUAAAAUUUUGCUUUUAGAUUAAAAGUACGAUAUAGAUUCAAAAUUUAAAAGUUUAAUAUAAAUUUUGAAAUUAAAAUUUUACAUUACAAUACUAACUUCAAAACUUAAAUUUAAAUUCAAUAUUUUUU
Molecule: long non-coding RNA, 290 nt
Filed under: Ananas comosus (pineapple)
Lineage: Eukaryota; Viridiplantae; Streptophyta; Magnoliopsida; Poales; Bromeliaceae
Description: long non-coding RNA (ACOM_LNC024977)
Source: RNAcentral